This 253-nucleotide ribosomal RNA is filed under the name uncultured bacterium. RNAcentral's name for it is "partial 16S ribosomal RNA". It matches the Rfam family "Bacterial small subunit ribosomal RNA", at positions 524 to 776 of the family's 1533-position model. The record is from RNAcentral.
UACAGAGGUCUCAACCGUUGUUCGGAUUCAUUGGGCGUAAAGGGUGCGUAGGCGGUCGUGCAAGUCGGAUGUGAAAUCUCAGGGCUCAACCCUGAAACUGCAUUCGAUACUGCGUGGCUAGAGUGCUGGAGAGGAGACUGGAAUUUACGGUGUAGCAGUGAAAUGCGUAGAUAUCGUAAGGAAGACCAGUGGCGAAGGCGAGUCUCUGGACAGCAACUGACGCUGAGGCACGAAGGCCAGGGGAGCGAACGGG